AGACUAUAAAAUUGUUAAUUACAAUAACAUAAAGUUUAAAAACAUAGUCUA
RNAcentral lists this transfer RNA (51 nucleotides) under Taeniothrips tigris. RNAcentral's name for it is "tRNA-Val". The record is from RNAcentral. Lineage: Eukaryota; Metazoa; Arthropoda; Insecta; Thysanoptera; Thripidae.